Long non-coding RNA from Macadamia integrifolia, 2457 nucleotides. RefSeq lists it as uncharacterized. The transcript is spliced from 2 exons. NCBI's taxonomy places the organism in Eukaryota, Viridiplantae, Streptophyta, Magnoliopsida, Proteales, Proteaceae. The record is from RefSeq and is a predicted model, not a curated record.
UGGCUAUAUUGUUCUUUGAUCCUUUGAUGUACUUUGGUUUUAAUCGGUUUAUGUAAUGCUUCUAUUUGUUAGGGUUUCAGUUCUUUUUCGUUUCCUUCUCUUUUGUUGUUUGGUAUUAUUUCUUCGAAUCGUCGAUUUUUCUCUUUAGGUCGUGGAGAAUCUCCUGUUUCCAUUAGGGUUUACAUUUGGCAUUUCACAUAUGCUGGUCUUGCUCGAUGAUAUAAAGGUGUUCGUUUGGUUUUGUGGGUUCUUCUACCCAUCCCCCUCUAGUAUUAGAAGCUAUUUGGUUAUGUAGUUGUGAUGGCACAUUUGGGUGAUUAAAUCGUAUUGGGUCUAUGAGGCGUUGCGGCUCAGCUUAUUUACUUGCAGCAUUCAUCAGUAUUGUUUUGUGUACACCUGCAAAAUGCGGUUGAUACUUUAUGCCUAUGUUUUCUUUCGUUAGCAUUAUACAUAUCAUGCUUAGUGGCUGUGUGGGCAUGUAUGUUCUUACCUUGUAUGAUUGUUAAUGGUAAUGUUGUUGGGAUUUCGCUCCUUCUGGGCCAUCAAUGUUUUUUCUGUUCAUCAUUACUUGAGUAGUUGAUAUGGUAAAUAUUCAAUCUUGAAUUUUUUUUUCCGUCUUUUUGUUUUUUUUUUUUUCCUGGGCUUGUUGGUUGUUGGUGGGCUUUCAGGUUAUUACUUUCCAGGGCAUCCAAUUUCUCUGGAGAUUACUAAUCCACCUAGGAUUGAGCCCAGCCAAAUUAUAUGCCUGUUUUUUGCCUUCACUUCAGUACAUUAUCAUUAAGUUUGUUACAGUAGUGUUUUUUCUUGGUGAAUAAUAAUUUUUUUGGUGAAUAUGUUAGUUCAUGCGUGUUUGGGUGAGUUGCCUAGCUUUAUUGCUUUAAUGAAACAGAUUUUCUUUAUUUCAUAUAUGCUGGUUGAAGAUUCUUGUAAAGAAGCAGUCAAUUUAAAUGAAAAGAAAAUGGAACAAUCUUAUAGCUGGUCUGUGAUCAAUAUUGGCAAUCAAAACUUUUAAGAGGACAACCUUACCCUCAUGGUAUUUCAUUACAGCCUCAAGUACCUUACAAUUCUUGAUUACCAUUAUGCAUUUAAUUUAGCAGGUUAUCCCAUCUCCAGCAGGCAGAAAAUUAGCAGAGUUUACAAUAAGCUCCUGUUGGUCUGCCCCACACCCCCUCCUGAAACGGAAGGAAAUACCUAUGGUUUAGGACAUAAUGAAGUCUAAUACUAAUUGAUAUUCAACAGUUACCCCAGUUCAAUUGGUAAUUUCUGAAAGCAACAAUGGCAUAUGAUUAAUUUUCCAUGUUGAAUACUGUUAUUCACAUGUUGGCAUUUGGAAAAUAAUGAAACCUAAAUUUCACCAUUUGCAAAGUUCCACAAUAAUACUUUAUCCUAAAUAUUAAAAAACAUACAGCAGGGAGAAAAUUAGCAGAAUUUACAAUAAGCUCCUGUUGGUCUGCCCCACCCCCCCUCCUGAAACAGAGAAGGAAAUACCUAUGGUUUAGGACAUAAUGAAGUCUAAUACUAAUUGAUAUUCAACAGUUACCCCAGUUCAAUUGAUAAUUUCUGAAAGCAACAAUGGCACAUGAUUAAUUUUCCAUGUUGAAUAGUGUUAUUCACCUGUUGGUAUUUGUAUUGAUGAGUUAAUCUAAUAUUUGUCUUGGUUAUGUAUUAACUUCAGUAAUGUAUGUUUUUUAAUAAUUAGGAUAAAGUAUUAUUGUGCAACUUUGCAAAUGGUGAAAUUUAGGUUUCAUUAUUUUCCAAUAUCUAUGUUCCUACAAUUUGUAUGCAAGUAUGUGUAUGGUGCUACAAUUAGUUUCUUGGGCGGAUAUGCAAUAUUGGAUGUUAGUUUACAAAAUCACUGGUUUUGAUUUGUGGGUUUUUUUUGAACUUUCAUCUGAGAAUUUUUUAUGCUUGGUCACAAUUUAAAAAUUUCCCAACAUCUAAAUCUGUAUUUUUAAUUCUAUAUGGAUCAGCAUGUUACAGUAGAACAAGAAGUUUGUAACAUGUGGGUGGAUUCUAAGGAAGAGUAGUAUGGUCCUGCAUUUUAUUUUAUUAAUAAGCAGAUAAGGUUUGCUGGUAUAAAUUGGUUGAUAGGGUUUUGAGCUGCAUUUAUGGGCAGAAUUGCAGUGUGUGUUUUAUCUAGGUAUUCAUACAAUAUGAUGAGUAGAUAGACCCCAUUUGUUUUUUUUUGCCCCCAUGUGAAUGAUGAUCUUCAAGGAUUUAAACUUUAUAUAACUUUGUCUUUUCAAAUGUCAUCUAAUAUUAAUCCUUUGGCAUGUUGUAAUGUAGUAUUAUUGACUCUUUUAGCAGCUACUAGAUGCGCUUAACGCUGUCUAUGCCUGAUGCCUUGGUUUUUGAGAUAAUUUUUUUUUCAUAUGGUUCGCAAUUAUUGCUUUGGAAUUCCAACGUUCUUUUGCCUUUUGAUAAAGUUAUAAGCUUAUUCUGACAUGGUUUGAUGCC